GUCCCUUUGGGGACAUCCGAUAAAAAUGGAAUGAUACAGAGAAGAUUAGCAUGGCCCCUGAGCAGGGAUGACACGCACAGAUCAAAAAAUGGUCCAAAUUUUU
Molecule: non-coding RNA, 103 nt
Organism: Capsicum annuum
Lineage: Eukaryota; Viridiplantae; Streptophyta; Magnoliopsida; Solanales; Solanaceae
Source: Rfam